RNAcentral lists this ribosomal RNA (443 nucleotides) under uncultured bacterium. Its description in RNAcentral is "partial 16S ribosomal RNA". It matches the Rfam family "Bacterial small subunit ribosomal RNA", at positions 338 to 795 of the family's 1533-position model. The record is from RNAcentral.
CCUACGGGUGGCAGCAGUGGGGGAUAUUGGACAAUGGGGGAAACCCUGAUCCAGCGACGCCGCGUGAGUGAAGAAGUAUUUCGGUAUGUAAAGCUCUAUCAGCAGGGAAGAAAGAAAUGACGGUACCUGAGUAAGAAGCCCCGGCUAACUACGUGCCAGCAGCCGCGGUAAUACGUAGGGGGCAAGCGUUAUCCGGAAUUACUGGGUGUAAAGGGAGCGUAGACGGUAAUGCAAGUCUGGAGUGAAAGGCGGGGGCUCAACCCCCGGACUGCUCUGGAAACUGUGUAACAGGAGUGCAGGAGAGGCAGGCGGAAUUCCUAGUGUAGCGGUGAAAUGCUUAGAUAUUAGGAGGAACACCAGUGGCGAAGGCGGCCUGCUGGACUGUAACUGACGUUGAGGCUCGAAAGCGUGGGGAGCAAACAGGAUUAGAUACCCCAGUAGUC